AUCAUUUUUGCAUAAUUUUUGCAAAAUUUUUGCAUUCUGUAUUUAUAUUUUAGUUGUACAGCUAUGCAUAUAUAUGUUUAUUUUAAAUCUCCAUAAUAAUGUGGAUUACCAAAGACAGCUGAAAAGGUUUGACUUGCAAUUCACCAUACUCCUACACAUACUUUCAACUGAUUGCAGUGAAACAUCCUUCCUUCAACUCUGUUUAGAUAGGUUGCUAUUCAUCAGCGCGUCCAGCCACAAGUGGGGCUUGGCUGGGGCUUCAGCCGGUGUUUUAAUCAUGAAAACACAUCCAGUGCUUCACUCCAUCCACUCGUCCUAAUAAUGAUUAUGCACUGUUUUUUUUUCUUUUUCUUUUCGUCUUGUUAGUUCCAGUGAUUGGCUUGGGCUUAUUUGACCAAAAACAUAAUUAGGCCGGCACUUGAAAGGGGGAGGAAAACAGCACAGAAGGAGAUAAAGAGCCCCAGACCAACAGCACCGCCACAACAAAACACCAACAAAAACAACAACAUCAAAAAUAUUAUUCCCCAUGACGCAGGCUGGCGGAGUGCCUUAGUGGUGAUGAUAUUUAGCGAGGGAGGAGAGGGUGUCGGGGCUGGCCCUGUGUGUGAUGAUGUGGGAGUCAGGAGGCGAGUGUGGUUACAUAAGCACAUUAAAAACGCUCACAGCCACCGCCUCCUGCCCCAGCCAGCUCUGCACUGCCCCAGGUCUCUUAUUAACCUUCUCUCUCCCUUUCUCUCCAUCUCUGUGUCUCUUUCUCCCCGUCUCUCUCCCUUUCUCUCCAUCUCUGUGUCUCUUUCUCCCCGUCUCUCUCCCUUUCUCUCCAUCUCUGUGUCUCUUUCUCCCUGUCUCAUUCUCUUUCUCUCUUUUUUUUAUUUCACACUUUACGUUUCUCUUUCUUCUCCAAUCUGUCUUUCUCUGUUUCUACAUUACUCAAUUCCAGCUCCUCUAUUAUGUGUGUGUGAGGUAUAUGCAUAGGUCCAUAUAUGAUAUAUAUAUAUAUAUUAAUGUACAUACAUACAUGAAAUGUAAAUACAGAUGUGUAUAUGUAUGUUUAUACUAUGUGCGUGUUUAUGUGCAUUUUUGUGUGUUUACUUGUUGUGUAUCUGUGCAUUUCCACAUAUGUUUAGGGGCCUGGGAGGGAGGGAGAGAG
Clupea harengus (Atlantic herring) is the source of this 1150-nucleotide long non-coding RNA. NCBI's taxonomy places the organism in Eukaryota, Metazoa, Chordata, Actinopteri, Clupeiformes, Clupeidae. The record is from Ensembl.